This 76-nucleotide transfer RNA is filed under the name Rickettsiales bacterium. RNAcentral describes it as "tRNA-Pro". It matches the Rfam family "tRNA". Rfam says of the family: Transfer RNA (tRNA) molecules are approximately 80 nucleotides in length. Their secondary structure includes four short double-helical elements and three loops (D, anti-codon, and T loops). Further hydrogen bonds mediate the characteristic L-shaped molecular structure. tRNAs have two regions of fundamental functional importance: the anti-codon, which is responsible for specific mRNA codon recognition, and the 3' end, to which the tRNAs corresponding amino acid is attached (by aminoacyl-tRNA synthetases). tRNAs cope with the degeneracy of the genetic code in two manners: having more than one tRNA (with a specific anti-codon) for a particular amino acid; and 'wobble' base-pairing, i.e. permitting non-standard base-pairing at the 3rd anti-codon position. Lineage: Bacteria; Pseudomonadati; Pseudomonadota; Alphaproteobacteria; Rickettsiales. RNAcentral also lists the same sequence under 1 other name. The record is from RNAcentral.
CAGGGCAUGGCGCAGUUGGUAGCGCGUUCGUCUGGGGGGCGAGAGGUCGCCAGUUCAAGUCUGGUUGCCCUGACCA